GAGUUUGAUCCUGGCUCAGGAUGAACGCUAGCGGCAGGCUUAACACAUGCAAGUCGAGGGGUAACGGGGAAGCUUGCUUCCGCCGACGACCGGCGCACGGGUGCGUAACGCGUAUACAAUCUACCUUGUACUGGGGUAUAGCCUUUAGAAAUGAAGAUUAAUCCCCCAUAGUCUCUUAGAGUGGCAUCACUUCUAGAGUAAAGGUUACGGUAUAAGAUGAGUAUGCGUUCUAUUAGUUUGUUGGUGUGGUAACGGCACACCAAGACUACGAUAGAUAGGGGCCCUGAGAGGGGGAUCCCCCACACUGGUACUGAGACACGGACCAGACUCCUACGGGAGGCAGCAGUGAGGAAUAUUGGACAAUGGAGGCAACUCUGAUCCAGCCAUGCCGCGUGCAGGAAGACUGCCCUAUGGGUUGUAAACUGCUUUUAUACAGGAAGAAACACCUCUACGUGUAGAGGCUUGACGGUACUGUAAGAAUAAGGAUCGGCUAACUCCGUGCCAGCAGCCGCGGUAAUACGGAGGAUCCAAGCGUUAUCCGGAAUCAUUGGGUUUAAAGGGUCCGUAGGUGGAUAACUAAGUCAGAGGUGAAAUCUUGCAGCUCAACUGUAAAAUUGCCUUUGAAACUGGUUAUCUUGAGUUAUUAUGAAGUAGUUAGAAUAUGUAGUGUAGCGGUGAAAUGCAUAGAUAUUACAUAGAAUACCAAUUGCGAAGGCAGAUUACUAAUAAUUAACUGACACUGAUGGACGAAAGCGUGGGUAGCGAACAGGAUUAGAUACCCUGGUAGUCCACGCCGUAAACGAUGGUUACUAGCUGUUUGGACUUCGGUCUGAGUGGCUAAGCGAAAGUGAUAAGUAACCCACCUGGGGAGUACGUUCGCAAGAAUGAAACUCAAAGGAAUUGACGGGGGCCCGCACAAGCGGUGGAGCAUGUGGUUUAAUUCGAUGAUACGCGAGGAACCUUACCAGGGCUUAAAUGUAAGUUGCAUUAGCUAGAGAUAGCUAUUUCUUCGGACCACUUACAAGGUGCUGCAUGGUUGUCGUCAGCUCGUGCCGUGAGGUGCCAGGUUAAGUCCUAUAACGAGCGCAACCCCUGUUGUUAGUUGCCAGCGAGUCAUGUCGGGAACUCUAACAAGACUGCCAGUGCAAACUGUGAGGAAGGUGGGGAUGACGUCAAAUCAUCACGGCCCUUACGUCCUGGGCUACACACGUGCUACAAUGGUAGGUACAGAGAGCAGCCACUGCGCGAGCAGGAGCGAAUCUAUAAAACCUAUCACAGUUCGGAUCGGAGUCUGCAACUCGACUCCGUGAAGCUGGAAUCGCUAGUAAUCGGAUAUCAGCCAUGAUCCGGUGAAUACGUUCCCGGGCCUUGUACUCACCGCCCGUC
Molecule: ribosomal RNA, 1386 nt
Filed under: uncultured marine bacterium
Lineage: Bacteria
Description: bacterial SSU rRNA
Rfam family: Bacterial small subunit ribosomal RNA
Source: RNAcentral